AGGCCCGUUAUCGGAAUGAGUACAAUCCAAACCCUUUAACAAGGAUCUAUCAGAGGGCAAGUCUGGUGCCAGCAGCCGCGGUAAUUCCAGCUCUGAGGGUGUAUACCACCGUUGUUGCGGUUAAAACGCUCGUAGUUGGAUCUACGUUCGUGGGGUCGGUGUUCUCGUUUGAGUUCUACUGACUACCUGAACUGAAACAGCUGGUUUUCCCUUGGUGCUCUUUAUUGGGUGCCCCGGGUGGCUAGCAAGUUUACUUUGAAAAAAUUAGAGUGCUCAAAACAGGCGCAUGCCUGAAUAGUGGUGCAUGGAAUAAUGGAAUAGGAUCUUGGUCCUAUUUUGUUGGUUUUCGGGAGCCAAGAUAAUGAUUAAGAGGGACAGACGGGGGCAUUCGUAUUGCAGCGUUAGAGGUGAAAUUCUUGGAUCGUUGCAAGACGAACAACUGCGAAAGCAUUUGCCAAGAAUGUUUUCAUUAAUCAAGAACGAAAGUUAGAGGUUCGAAGGCGAUCAGAUACCGCCCUAGUUCUAACCGUAAACGAUGCCAACUCGCGAUCUAGUGGUGUUAUUUAUGACCCGCUAGGGAGCGUCCCGGAAACGAAAGUUUUUCGGUUCCGGGGGAAGUAUGGUUGCAAAUCUGAAACUUAAAGGAAUUGACGGAAGGGCACCACCAGGAGUGGAGCCUGCAGCUUAAUUUGACCCAACACGGGAAAACUCACCCGGCCCGGACACCGUAAGGAUUGACAGAUUGAGAGCUCUUUCUUGAUUCGGUGGGUGGUGGUGCAUGGCCGUUCUUAGUUGGUGGAGCGAUUUGUCUGGUUAAUUCCGAUAACGAACGAGACUCUAUCCUACUAAAUAGCAAGCGGAUCAGCCCAGUCCGCAGUGCUUCUUAGAGGGACAAGCAGCUUUUAGCUGCACGAAAGUGAGCAAUAACAGGUCUGUGAUGCCCUUAGAUGUCCGGGGCUGCACGCGCGCUACACUGAAAGGAUCAGCGUGCAAGAUACCUUCCCCGAGAGGGGUGGGUAACCCAGUCAAAACCUUUCGUGAUUGGGAUAGGAGAUUGCAAUUAUUCUCCUUGAACGAGGAAUUCCCAGUAAGUGUGGGUCAUCAGCUCGCGCUGAUUACGUCCCUGCCCUUUGUACACACCGCCCGUCGCUGCCCGGAACUGAGCCGUUUCGAGAAGAACAGGGACUGCUGUUUGGUGGCCUUCGGGUUGCCUCUAGGCGGAAACUGUUUUAAUCGGUAUGGCUUGAACCGGGCAAAAGUCGUAACAAGGUU
Molecule: ribosomal RNA, 1272 nt
Filed under: metagenome
Description: SSU rRNA
Rfam family: Eukaryotic small subunit ribosomal RNA
Source: RNAcentral